RNAcentral lists this long non-coding RNA (236 nucleotides) under Mytilus galloprovincialis (Mediterranean mussel). The record is from RNAcentral. Lineage: Eukaryota; Metazoa; Mollusca; Bivalvia; Mytilida; Mytilidae.
AACUAGAGGCUCUAAAGAGCCUGUGUCGCUCACCUUGGUCUAUGUGAAUAUCAAAGGAAGCAGAUGGAUUCAUGACAAAAUUGUGUUUUGGUGAUGGUGAUGUGUUUGUACAUCUUACUUUACUGAACAUUCUUGCUGCUUAAAAUUAUCUCUAUCUAUAAUGAACUUGGCCCAUUAGUUUCAGUGGAAAAUGUUAGUAAAAAUUUACAAAUUUUAUGAAAAUUGUUAAAAAUUGA